UACGUAGGGAGCAAGCGUUGUCCGGAAUCAUUGGGCGUAAGGCGCGCGUAGGUGGCCUCAUAAGUCCGCUGUGAAAGUCAAAGGCUCAACCUUUGAAAGCCGGUGGAUACUGUGAGGCUAGAGUACGGAAGAGGCGAGUGGAAUUCCUGGUGUAGCGGUGGAAUGCGCAGAUAUCAGGAGGAACACCAAUAGCGAAGGCAGCUCGCUGGGACGUUACUGACACUGAGGCGCGAAAGCGUGGGGAGCGAACAGG
Molecule: ribosomal RNA, 253 nt
Filed under: uncultured bacterium
Lineage: Bacteria
Description: partial 16S ribosomal RNA
Rfam family: Bacterial small subunit ribosomal RNA
Source: RNAcentral